Dermacentor silvarum is the source of this 1348-nucleotide long non-coding RNA. RefSeq lists it as uncharacterized. The transcript is spliced from 4 exons. NCBI's taxonomy places the organism in Eukaryota, Metazoa, Arthropoda, Arachnida, Ixodida, Ixodidae. The record is from RefSeq and is a predicted model, not a curated record.
GCGGCGCGGGAGAAAGCAAGACGGAUGGGGGAGGGGGAGGGAGAGGGAGAGAAGACAGCACGCGAAAGGCCGCACCAUGGUCAGUUCACGAGCGGUCGACUACACAGCGCCUCGAAGAACGAGACACAAUGAUCAGGAGCAGAAUAUCAUGGCCACAAACCAAACUCCACCUGGACACUGGCCCUUCUGAAAAUGAACUGCGAAAGCUGCAAGAAUCCAAAGCUAGAACUCACAUUUGUCAACUGGCCUGUCGAGGGGCUCCACGUAGUUGGCUGGGAAGAGUCCGACUCGGCCCGCAAUCUCCCCUUUCCACCAGGAGGCAUCUUCCUUGCUCAAAACAACCAGGAGGUCACCCUUCUGGAAGGACAGCUCGUCUUCUUGUUGCCCGAUGAAGGGAAACAGGGCGCGCACUUGCUCUGUAGAAGGAUUCCCGAUUGGCAUCUGUUACAACAGAUGGCGCCCACACGCAAUGCGCAAUGAAGGAUGCAGUACUAGGAGACAUCACAUCACAUGUAACAAGCUUUGGUUCGUUUCGCACGCAAGAUGGCGGACCUAAGUGCAGCUCUGCUCCCGCGCCACUACUGACGUUGGUGGCAUUGCACCUCAAUGGUGCAUGAGGAGAGACCGACAGAAAACAGUUGGCGCUUGUAGCUUCAUUGCCUCAGACCACUGUAUGCCUCGGGCUGUGGUAUGCAAACAGCAGCUCGGAAGGAAUGCUAGUGUGUGUACAAAAUGCUCAUGCCUGCAGUGGAAGGCAGCACAUUGCCCUGGCUACACUGCAGAUUUGAUUGAGCGGAAUGUGACUGUGCGUCCACUUGGCUUCAUCGUUUUUUGCAGCCAAAUGCCUAACUCUCCUAGCGAGGGCUGCGCAUGCUGCGUCAGUACCGUGAAAGCAUGACAGUGGCAGCGCUAUCCAGCGCAGGCAUGAUAGCGAGAUGCUCAGCUGUGCAUGAACGUGCACCUCGCUUUUGUCAUGUAUAAUAGCAUCGCAAAACAUGCAACGCUGCGUUCAUCCUUUCAGACACAACAUGCAACACCGGGAGUUUGUCCUUUCUGCCGCCAACUAAGCACAGGUGUCCACUUUGCUGCAGCAGCGAAUGAUGAGUGCAUGUCCCCUCCUCUACACAACAUCUAAUUCUCACCUUCUAUCCUCCUCUGCACAGUCCAACCACUACAGCAUCAAAUCCUGCCCAGCCUUACAAAGAGAGCUUUGCUUUUAAUUAAAGGCUGUUCCAUACCAAGCACAUGCUCUGCUCCUCGUGGAUCACCCUGCAUGCACUUUUCUCUGCCCAGUAGAACUCAAUUUGGGAAGUGGGGGAAAAGAAGCCAGACUUCACGCAAGCAAAAU